GACAAGAUGGAGGACGAGUGUUACUUAUCAUUUCUGGGUGUAAAGCGCCGUUAAACAACCUUUAUUCAUUUUCUUAUAAAAAGACUUAAUGAUCACAGGUAACUGAAUUUAAGUGGGGUUUUUUGAAUACACAAAAAAAAGGUUAAAUUUUACUAAUUUGUGGAGAAAAUCAAUACGUGAAAACGUAAAUCUAAAUUUAAUUGACGUUGAAAGGCUAAAGAAAAGAGAACAAACAGG
Molecule: ribosomal RNA, 237 nt
Filed under: uncultured bacterium
Lineage: Bacteria
Description: partial 16S ribosomal RNA
Source: RNAcentral